AUUGAACGCUGGCGGCAGGCCUAACACAUGCAAGUCGAGCGAGCGGCGGACGGGUGAGUAAUGUAUGGGGACUGCCCGAUAGAGGGGGCAAACUACUGGAAACGGUGGCUAAUACCGCAUACUAUCGGAUAACCCAUAUGGGAUUAGCUAAUAGGUGGGGUAAAGGCUCACUUAGGCGACGAUCGCUAGCUGGUCUGAGGGGAUGAUCGGCCACACUGGGACUUGUACACGGCCCAGACUCCGACGGAGUAAGCAGUGGGGAAUAUUGAACAAUGGGCGCAAGCCUGAUGCAGCCAUGCCGCGUGUAUGAGGAAGGCCUUAGGGUUGUAAAGUACUUUCAGCGGGGAGGCGUUACCCGCAGAAGAAGCACCGGCUAACUCCGUGCCAGCCGCCGCGGUAAUAC
Molecule: ribosomal RNA, 403 nt
Filed under: uncultured bacterium
Lineage: Bacteria
Description: partial 16S ribosomal RNA
Rfam family: Bacterial small subunit ribosomal RNA
Source: RNAcentral